RNAcentral lists this ribosomal RNA (497 nucleotides) under uncultured bacterium. RNAcentral describes it as "partial 16S ribosomal RNA". It matches the Rfam family "Bacterial small subunit ribosomal RNA", at positions 28 to 507 of the family's 1533-position model. The record is from RNAcentral.
GAUGAACGCUGGCGGCGUGCCUAAUACAUGCAAGUCGAGCGAACAGACGAGGAGCUUGCUCCUCUGACGUUAGCGGCGGACGGGUGAGUAACACGUGGAUAACCUACCUAUAAGACUGGGAUAACUUCGGGAAACCGGAGCUAAUACCGGAUAAUAUAUUGAACCGCAUGGUUCAAUAGUGAAAGACGGUUUUGCUGUCACUUAUAGAUGGAUCCGCGCCGCAUUAGCUAGUUGGUAAGGUAACGGCUUACCAAGGCAACGAUGCGUAGCCGACCUGAGAGGGUGAACGGCCACACUGGAACUGAGACACGGUCCAGACUCCUACGGGAGGCAGAAGUAGGGAAUCGUGCGCAAUGGGCGAAAGCCUGACGGAGCAACGCCGCGUGAGUGAUGAAGGUCUUCGGAUCGUAAAACUCUGUUAUUAGGGAAGAACAAAUGUGUAAGUAACUAUGCACGUCUUGACGGUACCUAAUCAGAAAGCCACGGCUAACUACGUG